Non-coding RNA from Clostridiales bacterium Nov_37_41, 253 nucleotides. NCBI's taxonomy places the organism in Bacteria, Bacillati, Bacillota, Clostridia, Eubacteriales. The record is from Rfam.
CGAAAUUCGUUGAAGAGAACAACGCUGUUUUUGAAUCAAGUGUUUCAGAGAGUCUGCGGUUGGUGUGAGCAGAUACAUUUUCAUGAACAGAUAUCAUCUCUAAGAUGCGGACUGAACAUUACUUGACAUUAAUAUUUUGAACCAGUAAGUCUCGCCGGAAUCCUCCGUUAUAAGGAAAGCGUAUGAUAGUACGUUAAGAGCUGUAAUUUUAUUGCAGAAAUUGGGUGGUAACGCGGAUUAGUUCGUCCCUUUU